Molecule: unclassified non-coding RNA, 551 nt
Filed under: Hevea brasiliensis (rubber tree)
Lineage: Eukaryota; Viridiplantae; Streptophyta; Magnoliopsida; Malpighiales; Euphorbiaceae
Source: RNAcentral
CGUCGGUAAGAAAGCUUCUGAUAAUGGGCAUCGAUUGGCUACCUAGCAGUCUGAGGACACUUGCAGUAGAUAUCAAGCUUGGGACAUGACUGGGGUCAACAUCUAAUGCUGCCCUGAAUGAUUUUAGAGCAUCUUGGUGCAAACCCUUUGCUUCAUAGAGUAAACCUGUGGUGUGCCAUCUUGAAGCAGAGUAAGGACUAAUAGCCAUGGAUUUUGUAAGACAGACCUCAGCAUCCCGCCAUUGAGACAAACUUGUAUACACAUUAGCUAGAUCAUGCCAUGUUUCCAUUUCCAAUCUUCUGUCAUGGUUUCCCCUACUCUUUAGAAGCUUCUUUCCACCAUGAAAGGUUUUAGUUUGAACUUGGACAACACCAAGAAGAUGAGUAUAGGUCUGUAUGGCAUUCUUUAACUGGCCCUGUGCAAUCUGGAGUUUAGCUUUGGUUCGUAACAGUUCUACUUGGUCCCACUUCCCAGUCUGAUCUAGAGCAGCAUUGAUUACCGUCUCCGCAUCAAGAAACCGUUUUUGAGCUGACAAUAUUCGCGCUAAAAGG